UGACCUCUCUUUUCUUGCCCCUCUGUCUCUUCUUUAUGCUAUGCUGGAACAGAGAAGAAAGAAAGAAAAAAUGUUUUCUUUUAAAGGGCUUAUUUGAAUAGUUCACACUACUUUAGUGAGAAGGUGAAAAUCAUCACCUGAGGCUAUUUUCUGAGCUCGCUGGGGGUUCCAGAUGAAUUUAGCAACUCAGUCUGAUAUGUUCUCGGGAUAUAUCAAGGUCUGAACUUGUGGCAUUCUGUUGAUAGAAGCAUCUUUGACUUUGCACAUCUCUCUCCUGCUGCCAUGUGAAGAAGGAUGCGUUUUCUUCCCCUUCAGCCAUGAUGAAAACGCUGCCCAUUGUGUACAGAAUCUCCAUCAUAUCACCCAAACAGAAUCUGCCUGACCAUGUGAACAACAGUUUUGGGGUACAUGAGCAGAGCAUGCAAGACAGUUGCGUAGGUACACACAUGGCAGUGUGCUUUGCUUUUCUUCUCCCCUUCACCCACAUUUGGCAUUUCUCCCCAGGCUAUCCCUCCCCACCUCCCCCUCCCACUGGCCCUCCCCUUUUCCCCCCAAUAGACCCCAGUGUUUAGUACUCCCCUUUCUGUGUCCAUGUGUUCUCAUUUUUCAUCACCCGCCUAUGAGUGAGAAUAUGCGGUGUUUCAUUUUCUGUUCUUGUGUCAGUUUACUGAGGAUGACGUUCUCCAGAUUCAUCCAUGUCCCUACAAACGACACAAACUCAUCAUUUCUGAUUGCUGCAUAAUAUUCCAUGGUGUAUAUGUGCCACAUUUUUCCAAUCCAGUCUAUUAUCAAUGGGCAUUUGGGUUGAUUCCAGGUCCUUGCUAUUGUAAACAGUGCUGCAAUGAACAUUCGUGUACAUGUGUCCUUAUAGUAGAACGAUUUAUAGUCUUUUGGAUAUAUACCCAGUAAUGGGAUUGCUGGCCUUAGAAAUAGAAAUUCCAUUUGACCCAGCAAUCGCAUAGCUGUGUUUUUUAAGAACACUGUGAAUCCUAUCACUCAUGGUGCCUCCUUGUAUUUCAGUUUACACUAGAAAAUGGAGUAGUUGCCAUAAUUUGGUCUACAAAUAUCACCAGUUUUAUUAUAUUUAUUUUAUUUUGAUAAAAAUUAUGCAGCCAUGAUGUGUCUCCUUUUCUCACAGUGUCCUCCCAUAGUCUAAUUGCACAUAAACCGUAAUUCAUUUCAGUGACUUAUAAAUCAGAACAUUCUCAUGCAGUAUAUUUUUCUUCUUAGCAAACACACAUACCCAAACAUAUA
This 1254-nucleotide long non-coding RNA is filed under the name Callithrix jacchus (white-tufted-ear marmoset). Its description in RNAcentral is "lncRNA (ENSCJAG00000083533.1)". The record is from RNAcentral. Lineage: Eukaryota; Metazoa; Chordata; Mammalia; Primates; Cebidae.